RNAcentral lists this ribosomal RNA (206 nucleotides) under uncultured bacterium. Its description in RNAcentral is "partial 16S ribosomal RNA". It matches the Rfam family "Bacterial small subunit ribosomal RNA", at positions 1294 to 1500 of the family's 1533-position model. The record is from RNAcentral.
CGGAUUGUAGGCUGCAACCCGCCUACAUGAAGUUGGAAUUGCUAGUAAUCGCAGAUCAGAAUGCUGCGGUGAAUACGUUCCCGGGCCUUGUACACACCGCCCGUCACACCAUGGGAGCCGGUAAUACCCGAAGUCAGUAGUCUAACCGCAAGGGGACGCUGCCGAAGGUAGGAUUGGCGACUGGGGUGAAGUCGUAACAAGGUAAC